CCAAUAGCGUAUAUUAAAGUUGUUGCAGUUAAAAAGCUCGUAGUUGAAUUUCGGGAUUAGUAGGUUGGUCGUGCCUCCGGUAUGUACUGGCUUUACUGAUUCCUCCUUCUUGAAGAACUGUAAUGUCAUUAAUUUGGUGUUGCAGGGAAACAGGACUGUUACUUUGAAAAAAUUAGAGUGUUUAAAGCAGGCUAACGCUUGAAUACAUUAGCAUGGAAUAAUGAAAUAGGACGUUUGAUCCUAUUUUGUUGGUUUCUAGGAUUGACGUAAUGAUUAAUAGGGAUAGUUGGGGGCAUUAGUAUUCAAUUGUCAGAGGUGAAAUUCUUGGAUUUAUUGAAGACUAACUACUGCGAAAGCAUUUGCCAAGGAUGUUUUCAUUAAUCAAGAACGAAAGUUAGGGGAUCGAAGACGAUCAGAUACCGUCGUAGUCUUAACCAUAAACUAUGCCGACUAGGGAUCGGAUGAUGUUAAUUUUUUAAUGACUCAUUCGGCGCCUUACG
RNAcentral lists this ribosomal RNA (500 nucleotides) under uncultured Glomeromycotina. RNAcentral describes it as "partial small subunit ribosomal RNA". It matches the Rfam family "Eukaryotic small subunit ribosomal RNA", at positions 591 to 1092 of the family's 1831-position model. Lineage: Eukaryota; Fungi; Glomeromycota. The record is from RNAcentral.